AUAUUAAUAAGCGGAGGAAAAGAAACUAACAAGGAUUCCCUGAGUAAUGGCGAAUGAAAAGGGAAAAGCUCAUAGAUUGAAUCGGGUGUUCCUAACGGACUCUCCGCGUUGUAAUCUUACGAAUGUAUGUUCAACCACGUGGACCCGGCAUAAACCUUUGGAAUAAAGGUGUUCAUAGAGGGUGAGAAUCUAUGACUCGGUGUUCUGACCAUGUGUUCCAAGAGUAGAGUAGGAUGGCAUUCCUGCUCGAAGAGGGUGGUAAACUUCAUCUAAAGCUAAAUACCGGCCAGAGACCGAUAGCGCACAAGUA
This 310-nucleotide ribosomal RNA is filed under the name uncultured eukaryote. RNAcentral's name for it is "partial large subunit ribosomal RNA". It matches the Rfam family "Eukaryotic large subunit ribosomal RNA", at positions 40 to 350 of the family's 3401-position model. The record is from RNAcentral.